Triticum aestivum (bread wheat) is the source of this 125-nucleotide non-coding RNA. Lineage: Eukaryota; Viridiplantae; Streptophyta; Magnoliopsida; Poales; Poaceae. The record is from Rfam.
CGUGUACUCCCUCCAUCCGUAAAUACUUGUCGAAGAAAUGAAUAAAAAUGCAUAUAUUUAGAACUAAAAUACAUCUAGAUACAUCCAUUUCUCGGACAAGUAUUUCCGAAUGGAGGAAGUACUAA